GUAAAGUACUUUCAGCAGUGAGGAAGGUGGGGUAUGGUUAAUAGCAUAUUCAUUUGACGUUAGCUGCAGAAGAAGCACCGGCUAACUCCGUGCCAGCAGCCGCGGUAAUACGGAGGGUGUGAGCGUUAAUCGGAAUUACUGGGCGUAAAGCGCAUGCAGGUGGUUUGUUAAGUCAGAUGUGAAAGACCCGGGGCGUCAACCUCGGAAUUGCAUUUGAAACUGGCAAACUAGAGUACUGUAGAGGGGGGUAGGAAUUUCAGGUGUAGCUGUGAAAUGCGUAGAGAUCUGAAGGAAUACCGGUGGCGAAGGCGGCCCCCUGGACAGAUACUGACACUCAGAUGCGAAAGCGUGGGGAGCAAACAGGAUUAGAUACCCUGGUAG
RNAcentral lists this ribosomal RNA (381 nucleotides) under uncultured bacterium. Its description in RNAcentral is "bacterial SSU rRNA". It matches the Rfam family "Bacterial small subunit ribosomal RNA", at positions 425 to 793 of the family's 1533-position model. The record is from RNAcentral.